GCAAGUCCUGUCACAGUCCCAAUUUACAAAUGCCUCGUACAAAGAAACACCAGAUAGUCCUGCAUACCUCAAGCGGCCGUUUACGCAUGAUGCCCCUAAGCGGAAACGUUACAGCUCCAAACCAGGCAAUCGGACAUCCUACACCCUUCCGACAAUCUCUAUUAGGAAUGUGCGGAUCCAACCAUCGAUCCACACGAGAUGCAACAAAGUCUUCAACUCGACGCAACGAACGCGUGACCUGUCAUGGCCUGUGAUGAGUGACCCCUUCGCUUCUUACCCAGGCCUGCAAGAGUGUGCGCCACUCUCAAGAAGCAACACACAACCGCCAAACAGACUUGGUGAGACAAUCGAAAUACAGCCCUCACCAGAUGGUGCCUAGGAACCUUAAACCCCAAACACUAAACUCUACACACAGACAGACACACACACAGACACACACAAAAAAGGUCACCGGCGCGGCUCCCACGGACUCCCCCCAUGAAACCCUUCCCCGUGUGCACCCAUGCGGCGCAACCGACAACUACCACACCCAGCUAAUCCACAACACGGCUCAGCUCGGAAUGGAUCGACUCAUCAACACACACAUAAACGAGAUCGAUAUUGAAAGCGGAAUUGUCGAACAAGCAAUGUAGCAUACGAUUAGAACGCCGCUGCAGCCGCACCGGCGCCGCGAUGUAUGCGGAUGCACUGCGACGCGGUCCAGGUGGAUCCAGGUUCCAAGCUCGUUAUCGGAUCCACCAGGCCAGGCUCCAGGCACACCAUGCGCCGCCACUCGGGAUCUCCCAGGUCGGAGAUGGAGGCCCCACGCUUCGCACCGGGGUUCCAAAGUACGGCAUCAGGGAAG
This 844-nucleotide long non-coding RNA is filed under the name Volvox carteri. Its description in RNAcentral is "long non-coding RNA (VCAR_LNC001564)". The record is from RNAcentral. Lineage: Eukaryota; Viridiplantae; Chlorophyta; Chlorophyceae; Chlamydomonadales; Volvocaceae.